RNAcentral lists this ribosomal RNA (253 nucleotides) under uncultured bacterium. Its description in RNAcentral is "partial 16S ribosomal RNA". It matches the Rfam family "Bacterial small subunit ribosomal RNA", at positions 524 to 776 of the family's 1533-position model. The record is from RNAcentral.
UACGUAGGGGGCAAGCGUUGUCCGGAUUUAUUGGGCGUAAAGAGCGUGUAGGCGGCUUGGUAGGUCCGCUGUGAAAACUCGAGGCUCAACCUCGAGAUGUCGGCGGAAACCACUUGGCUAGAGUCCGGAAGAGGAGAGUGGAAUUCUCGGUGUAGCAGUGAAAUGCGUAGAUAUCGAGAGGAACACCAGUGGCGAAGGCGAGUCCCUGGACAACACCUGACACUGAGGCACGAAAGCUAGGGGAGCAAACAGG